GAUUAGAGCUUGAUCCUGGCUCAGAACGUACGCUGGCGGCACGCCUAACACAUGCAAGUCGAACGCAGUAGCAAUACUGAGUGGCAAACGGGUGAGUAUAAUGUGGGAAUCUGCCUUUUGGUUUGGAAUAACACGGGGAAACUUGUGCUAAUACCGAAUAAGCCCUUACGGGGAAAGUUUUAAUGCCGAAAGAUGAGCCUGCACUUGAUUAGCUAGUUGGUAAGGUAAAAGCUUACCAAGGCAACGAUCAAUAGCUGUUCUUAGAGGAAGACCAGCCACAUUGGGACUGAGACACGGCCCAGACUCCUACGGGAGGCAGCAGUGGGGAAUCUUGCACAAUGGGGGAAACCCUGAUGCAGCGAUGCCGCGUGAGUGAAGAAGGCCCUUGGGUUGUAAAACUCUUUCGUCGGGGAAGAAAAUGACUGUACCCGAAUAAGAAGGUCCGGCUAACUUCGUGCCAGCAGCCGCGGUAAUACGAAGGGACCUAGCGUAGUUCGGAAUUACUGGGCUUAAAGAGCUCGUAGGUGGUUAAAAAAGUUGGUGGUGAAAUCCCAAGGCUCAACCUUGGNAACUGCCAUCAAAACUUUUUAGCUAGAGUGUGAUAGAGGUAAGUGGGAAUUUCUAGUGUAGAGGUGAAAUUCGUAGAUNUUAGAAAGAACACCAAAUGCGAAGGCAACUUACUGGGUCACUACUGACACUGAGGAGCGAAA
Molecule: ribosomal RNA, 710 nt
Filed under: uncultured Alphaproteobacteria bacterium
Lineage: Bacteria; Pseudomonadati; Pseudomonadota; Alphaproteobacteria
Description: bacterial SSU rRNA
Rfam family: Bacterial small subunit ribosomal RNA
Source: RNAcentral